This 255-nucleotide ribosomal RNA is filed under the name uncultured bacterium. Its description in RNAcentral is "partial 16S ribosomal RNA". It matches the Rfam family "Bacterial small subunit ribosomal RNA", at positions 524 to 776 of the family's 1533-position model. The record is from RNAcentral.
UACAGAGGUCCCAAGCGUUGUUCGGAUUCACUGGGCGUAAAGGGUGCGUAGGUGGUGAGGUAAGUCGGAUGUGAAAGCUCGGAGCUCAACUCCGAAAUGGCAUUGGAAACUACCUUGCUCGAGGGUUGGAGGGGGGACUGGAAUGCUUGGUGUAGCAGUGAAAUGCGUAGAUAUCAAGCGGAACACCAGUGGCGAAGGCGGGUCUCUGGGCAGUAACUGACGCUGAGGAGCGAAAAGCGUGGGGGAGCGAACAGG